GGGAAUCCUGUAGGUUGAUCAGGAGCUUGGCUGUAAAACUAGUGGCCUGUCCUCACAUACUAGGAUUUACCAUUAAGCAUAUCAAAACAGUGGAUCCAAUUUAUGAAUCUAUUUUCUUUGUUAUUUUAUGUCAGUCUUUGACUGUAAAAAGAACACAAAAUAGGCUAAGCAUUCGCUUCGGAUAAAAGAAACCCAGAAUCCUCUUUAGAUGAAUGAUCAAAAGUAUUUUGAAU
RNAcentral lists this unclassified non-coding RNA (233 nucleotides) under Hevea brasiliensis (rubber tree). The record is from RNAcentral. Lineage: Eukaryota; Viridiplantae; Streptophyta; Magnoliopsida; Malpighiales; Euphorbiaceae.